ACCGACAGCUAAGGUCCCAAAGUACGUGUUAAGUGGAAAAGGAUGUGGGAUUUCAUAGACAACUAGGAUGUUGGCUUAGAAGCAGCCAUACAUUUAAAGAGUGCGUAAUAGCUCACUAGUCGAGAAAACCUGCGCCGAAAAUGUAACGGGGCUAAAACACGACACCGAAGCUACGGAUUCCUUACAAAGUAAGGAGUGGUAGAGGAGCAUCCUGCAAGGACGAAGCCAAAGUGAGAGCGAUGGUGGACGAAACAGGAGAGAGAAUGCCGGAAUGAGUAGCGAGAUACAUGUGAGAAACAUGUAGGCCGAAUAUCUAAGGAUUCCUGGGUAAAGCUAAUCUUCCCAGGGUUAGUCGGGGCCUAAGGCGAGGACGAAAGUCGUAGUCGAUGGAUAACAGGUUGAUAUUCCUGUACUACACAUAAUCAGAACUGUGGGGACGCAGAAGGAUAGGGAAACCGGGGAAUGGAAAGACCCGGUCAAGCGUAAAGCUGUGGGAGAUAGGCAAAUCCGUCUUCUGUAAGUGAAACGUGAUGAGGACUGAAAAAAAGUAAGGAAGUUUCCGAAUCCACACUGCCGAGAAAAGCCGCUAUUGCGUUAUGUGUACCCGUACCGUAAACCGACACAGGUAGAUGAGGAGAAAAUCCACAGGCCGACGGGAGAAGUGUUGUUAAGGAACUCGGCAAAAUGACCCCGUAACUUCGGGAUAAGGGGAGCCUCGCAAGAGGCCGCAGAAAAGAGGCACAAGCAACUGUUUAGCAAAAACACAGGUCUAUGCGAAACCGUAAGGUGAAGUAUAUGGGCUGACGCCUGCCCGGUGCUGGAAGGUUAAAAGGAGAGGUCAGCGCAAGCGAAGCUUUGAAUUCAAGCCCCAGUAAACGGCGGCCGUAACUAUAACGGUCCUAAGGUAGCGAAAUUCCUUGUCAGGUAAGUUCUGACCCGCACGAAAGGCGUAAUGAUUUGUGCACUGUCUCGACAACACGCCCGGUGAAAUUGAAGAACCAGUGAAGAUACUGGUUACCCGCAACAGGACGGAAAGACCCCAUGGAGCUUUACUGCAGCCUGAUACUGGGAUUCGAUGAUAUAUGUACAGGAUAGGUGGGAGGCUAAGAAGCGAGAACGCUAGUUUUCGUGGAGCCGCCGGUGGGAUACCACUCUUAUGUCAUUGAAUUUCUAACCUGCAUCCGUAAUCCGGGUGAGGGACAAUGUCAGGCGGGCAGUUUGACUGGGGCGGUCGCCUCCUAAAAGGUAACGGAGGCGCUCGAAGGUCACCUCAGAAUGAUUGGAAACCAUUCAAAGAGUGUAAAGGCAAAAGGUGGCUUGACUGCGAGAGCGACGGCUCGAGCAGGUACGAAAGUAGGACUUAGUGAUCCGGUGGUAAUAAGUGGGAAUGCCAUCGCUCAACGGAUAAAAGCUACCCUGGGGAUAACAGGCUU
This 1433-nucleotide ribosomal RNA is filed under the name metagenome. RNAcentral describes it as "bacterial LSU rRNA". It matches the Rfam family "Bacterial large subunit ribosomal RNA", at positions 1031 to 2484 of the family's 2925-position model. The record is from RNAcentral.